AACGCGAAGAACCUUACCCAGAUUUGACAUACAGAGGACAGUACUAGAAACAGUAUCUCCCUUCGGGGCCUCUGAACAGGUGCUGCAUGGCUGUCGUCAGCUCGUGCCGUGAGGUGUUGGGUUAAGUCCCGCAACGAGCGCAACCCUUAUCAUUAGUUGCUAACAAGUUAAGUUGAGCACUUUAAUGAGACUGCCCGGGUUAACCGGGAGGAAGGUGAGGAUGACGUCAAGUCCGCAUGGCCUUUAUAUCUGGGGCUACACACGUACUACAAUGGUCGGUACAGAAGGCAGCGAAGCCGCGAGGCGGAGCAAAUCCCGAAAGCCGAUCUCAGUUCAGAUUGUAGUCUGCAACUCGACUACAUGAGGAUGGAAUUGCUAGUAAUGGCAGGUCAGCACACUGCCGUGAAUACGUUCCCGGGUCUUGUACACACCG
This 433-nucleotide ribosomal RNA is filed under the name uncultured bacterium. RNAcentral's name for it is "bacterial SSU rRNA". It matches the Rfam family "Bacterial small subunit ribosomal RNA", at positions 958 to 1392 of the family's 1533-position model. The record is from RNAcentral.